Molecule: unclassified non-coding RNA, 461 nt
Filed under: Microcystis aeruginosa MBM
Lineage: Bacteria; Bacillati; Cyanobacteriota; Cyanophyceae; Chroococcales; Microcystaceae
Description: partial contains 16S ribosomal RNA, 16S-23S ribosomal RNA intergenic spacer, and 23S ribosomal RNA
Rfam family: Bacterial small subunit ribosomal RNA (bases 1-103)
Source: RNAcentral
UACCUCAACCGCAAGGAGGGGGAUGCCUAAGGCAGGGCUAGUGACUGGGGUGAAGUCGUAACAAGGUAGCCGUACCGGAAGGUGUGGCUGGAUCACCUCCUUAAAGGGAGACCUAAUUCCGGUAGGAGACGAAAAAAAAGUAGUCCCUACCAAGAAUCAAUCCCAAAAGGUCGGAGCGAGGCAAAAUUGGCUUUCAAACUAGGUUCUGGGUUCACACAAGACCUGAAUCAGGAACAAGGGCUAUUAGCUCAGGUGGUUAGAGCGCACCCCUGAUAAGGGUGAGGUCCCUGGUUCGAGUCCAGGAUGGCCCACCUGCACAGGUGGAAGAAAGAAAAAAGCUCCGAAUCAGCACCUUAUCUUACUUAUAUAGUAAGAGAGAAUGCUGGCUCUGAGUACAGAGUCCAGAGGAACCUUGAAAACUGCAUAGAGCUAGGUGAAAAAGCCAAAAAAGAAGACCGCAA